GACGUCUGCUCUUCCCAUCCGGCGCUCGUGGUAGGUGGAGCACGCAGACGCACACGCCCCUGGCCGCCCCUGUGCCUAGGGGCCGCAGGGUCCUGCUGCCCGCCGUUUCCCGGGAGCCGCCCCAAAUAAGCACCGCCGGGACCCCAGGUGAGCGCUCACCAGUGUCCUUCUCCAGCCCCGAGCCAAAACUUCGGGACAAAUGGCGUCGGGACCUGAGACAAACAACUAAAUAUUGGGACAGUCCCGAUGUUAUCGGGAUGUCUGGUCACCCUAGUAAUGACAGCUGCCGGGGCUUAAGCCAUUUUUUUUUUACAUUCAUAACUGAUGUAAUGCCAUGGCACAAAUUAAGCACUGUGCUGCUUCUGAAUUUGCCCCAAUGCCUUAAUCAGAGGCAGUGGAGUGUGUGGCAGAGCACAAGAACGGCCAGACUGGUCCAGACCAAUGGCCCAUCUAGCCCAGUAGCCUGUCUUCCGACAGUGGCCAGGGCCAGGUGCCCCAGAGGGAAUGAACAGAACUGGGCAACUCUUGAGCAAUCCGUCCUCUGUCAUCCACUCCCAGCUUCUGGCAAACAAAGGCUAGGGACAUUCAAAGCUAGUCUGCACUAGAAUUGCUACUAAUCAUUGGGGGCACAGAAUUCCUCCAGCCCAGGGGCCAUGGUGGCAGGGAAAGCAAGCUCCUCCUGGCUGCACGGAGGAGAGUGAGCUCCUGCCAGAGCCCGGACAGGGAGGGAGAGAGGGAAGAGCCAGGGGGGAGCACAGAAUGCGUAGCACCCAAAAUGAGGUCAGAGUUAAAUUUCUGCACACACCCCUGUCUGCGCCUGGCGAUAGCUUUGUCAGUGAGACAUGUCUCUCAUCAACAUAGCGUUGUCCACACCAGCACUUAGGCUGGUGUAACUUACAUCGCUCGGGGGGGUGUUUUUUUCACACCCCGAGCGACAUAUGUUAUUCCGACCUUAGUGCUAGUGUAUACAAACCCUCAGAGCAUGGGGGUGCAUCCCUGACCCUCUUGGCUAACAGCCAUUGUUGAACCUGUCCUUCAGGAACUUACCGACUUCAUUUUGAACCCUGUUAUAGUUUUGGCCCUCACAACAUCCCCUGGCAAUGAGUUCCACAGGUUGAGGGUGUGUUGUGAUAGCCAGAUCCCCUCUGCCUAUCCCACCCAGUUCUUUUCUUACACUAAGAAUCUCUGUACCUGGUAAGAAAGUUCAGACAUUUGUUAAGGGAUCCAGCCCAGUUUCCCCAGCCACAUAAUCCUCCUUCAGCACUGACUGUUGCCUCAUUUGGUUUACACCAUCUACCCAAAGUGGACCCUACUCUCUAAAACAUACACAAUCGUGAGAAGAACAAAUUCCUGGGAGAUUAUUGGAAGACCCUUAAAUGAGGACUGGGCCUACACAAUCACCUAGUCAUUUGUUAUUGUGACCUUUGUGUAUAUAUUUGCAAAUGAUGUUAACGCCAGCCCCCUGCAUUUAAAAAUUAGUCAGGUCUCCAAAAUCACAAGAUUAUUGGAAAUAAUCAUGAGAUGUUUUUAAACUAAAUCAUGGAUUGUUUUAUUAGUUUUCUGAGCCGCUGGGGGUUAUGUUUCCAGACUUUUCUCCAUAAGCCCAAGAGGUAGAAACUUAGGGCCAGGGGCGAAUUAAUGCACAGGUCCACCAGAAUCUGUGUGGAAGCCGGGGGGGCCACUAGUGCCUGCCCCUGCUCCACCUCUUCCUCCAAGGCCCCACCCCCCUGGCCAGGCCAGAAGCCAGACCCAGGCCAUGGUAAAGAGCCACCCAGGGAGUCAGGCCGCUGUGGGGCGCACCAGACCCGCCACCUGCCUUGUGGCGGAGGUUGGUGGGCCCAAGAGCCUAGCCCCCCAGCCUGUGUCCCCACUGUCCUGGGGUGCGCCGGCCAGAGUAGGUGGAAGUAGGGUGACCUGAUGUCCCAAUUUUAUAGGGACAGUCCAGAUUUUGGGGUCAUUUUCUUAUAUAGGCUCCUAUUACCCCCCAUCCCCGUCCCGAUUUUUCACAUUUGCUGUCUGGUCAGCCUACAGCAGCCUGAGUUCCCUGGAUGGCUCUUACCACGGGGCCUCGUGGAGGGAGGAGGAGCAGGGGGCGGAGCCCCGUGGCGAGGGAGCUGUGAGGGCGGGGUCCAAAUAUUCUUUGUGCCCAGGGCCCCAAUAAAUCUUAAUCUGCCUCUGCUUAGGGCUUGUACAUGCUACCACUUAUGUUGGCAUCACUUAUGUCACUCAGGGGUGUACACAAUUGCCAGCCCCUUGAGUGACGUAAGUUACACCAACCUAAGCCCCAGCGCGCACAGGGCUGCGUUGGCAGGAGCGCUUCUCCCGCCGAGGUGGGUUUAUUAUGCCGACGGGAGAGCGCUCUCCCAUCGGCAGAGAGCGUCUUCACCAGGCGCAAUGCGGCACCACGGCUGUGCAACGCUAGCCCUGAGCGAAAGCCGAGUUGCUCACAGGAUUCCAGGAGCUGGGACUUGCGAUCAAAUGAGGAGCCCAGGCAGCACCGAAAUUUUAGGGGAGCUUGGGAAAGUUGGGAGGGUGCUACGACUCAGGAGCUGUGCUGGUCAGCAUCAUCUGAUUACAUGGCAGAGGAUUAUAGGAUUGAUCCUUUAAUUGUUCUUUCUCAGCCAUCCUUUGUGGGGGGGUUGAACUUGUCUUUUAGCCUUGGCUUACUGAAUUGGCAAUUUUAUUACAUAACCUUCCACCCAUCAUUAUUAUAUGGCCAUGUUAUUGUGUAGGCUGUGAGCUUGCAUGCAAUUAAGCACACAAUUCAUGAUCAGCUACAAACAUACUUAUUGACUGCAAACUCUUUGGGGCUGAGACUGUCUCUCGCUCUGUGUCUGGGCAGCGCCCUCCACAACAGGGCCCUGAUCUCAGCUGGAGCCUUAAUCUCACUUUAUGACAUUAAGUAAUAAAUAAAAAUCUCGAAAGCAA
Long non-coding RNA from Chelonia mydas (Green sea turtle), 2928 nucleotides. RefSeq lists it as uncharacterized. NCBI's taxonomy places the organism in Eukaryota, Metazoa, Chordata, Testudines, Cheloniidae. The record is from RefSeq and is a predicted model, not a curated record. The transcript is spliced from 3 exons.